RNAcentral lists this ribosomal RNA (253 nucleotides) under uncultured bacterium. RNAcentral describes it as "partial 16S ribosomal RNA". It matches the Rfam family "Bacterial small subunit ribosomal RNA", at positions 524 to 776 of the family's 1533-position model. The record is from RNAcentral.
UACGGAGGGGGCUAGCGUUGUUCGGAAUUACUGGGCGUAAAGCGCACGUAGGCGGCUUUGUAAGUUAGAGGUGAAAGCCCGGGGCUCAACUCCGGAAUUGCCUUUAAGACUGCAUCGCUAGAAUUGUGGCGAGGUAAGUGGAAUUCCGAGUGUAGAGGUGAAAUUCGUAGAUAUUCGGAAGAACACCAGUGGCGAAGGCGACUUACUGGACACAUAUUGACGCUGAGGUGCGAAAGCGUGGGGAGCAAACAGG